GACGGCUCGGCAAAAAAUUAUCAAUAAUUACUUAAGUGACGCUAUUAGAAGAGUACUAGUGUAACCAGAUAUUAAUACCAAUAAUACCACGGGCAGCCCUUAUAGUAUUGAUUUUAAUCGGUUCAGACGAUCCAGUGGUCCAGAAAUAGGUUUUUAGACUAAUAAAUUAUGCAAUACUUGUAUAGGUGAAAAGGCAUUCAAAGAGCUGUCAGUUGAUUUACAAAAAGCGUACACAAUAUAAAAUUACUGACAACGAAUGUAUCCUAUGUAGAUGGUGAUUCUAACUUUGGCCAUUGAAUGGUGUGGCACAUAAAACUGGACUAGAUCCCGCGUGGCUGCGCAGAAGUAGAUAUAGACAUUUUAAAUUGAUAUACACGAGUGACAAGUACAUUAUUUAUACAAAAAUAAGUUUCUCGUAUUUUUAUUAAUGCUACUUGUAUAACACAGAAUGAUCCAUCAAGCAUUUUUGGAGUUUUUAAGUAUACUUAA
Molecule: long non-coding RNA, 489 nt
Organism: Rhopalosiphum padi (bird cherry-oat aphid)
Lineage: Eukaryota; Metazoa; Arthropoda; Insecta; Hemiptera; Aphididae
Exons: 2
Source: RefSeq, a predicted model, not a curated record